This 1242-nucleotide long non-coding RNA is filed under the name Carassius auratus (goldfish). RNAcentral describes it as "lncRNA (ENSCARG00000044992.1)". The record is from RNAcentral. Lineage: Eukaryota; Metazoa; Chordata; Actinopteri; Cypriniformes; Cyprinidae.
GGGCUAUCGAUGUGGGGUAGGCUGGAAGUUGUGAGGACAGACCUACUCCCGAGUCUGAAUUAUUUGGCCUAUAUUUUUCCUGUACCUUUUUUAUAUGGUAGGAAGUUGGAGAAGCUGGUUUUUUCUUUUCUUUGGAAUAACGGUACUGAGAUGGUGGCGAGAACACAGAUGUACUGCCAUGUGAAGGAGGGAGGGAGGGGGGUUCCUUGUAUCCCCUUAAAAAUGGAUGCAAUCUUCCUUUCCUCUUCUGCCCAAUUAGCAAUACAAGAGGAAGUGCAUAAUGCAAGAAUUUUGGCCCAGUUUUGGCUGGCUUUUCCAUUGCGAUCCAUUAGCUCAUGGAGGGCAACAAUGCCAUGGUCAACAAAUAGGCCGGCUUACUAUCAGAGAGUGGCAGAUUUCAUAAUGGGGAAACCAUGGUGUUUGGAGCAAUCUUUGAUCUUUCAGCAUAGGCAGCUGUACAGUAGAUUGAGGGACGAGCUAGUGGCUGGGGCAGAGAAAAUUGUCCCACCAUAUAGAGUAGAUUGGGCCAUGUUGCAGCCUACUUAUUUGACUGGGUUUUGUAAAGAUUUAAAUUGGUUGGCCGCGCUGGGUCGGCUGCCUGUGAGGGAGCGACUAUACAGACAUGGCUCAGGGAGGUCACCAAUGUGCCCAGUUGGAUGUGGCCAGGACGAAACUGUAGAGCAUACCUUUUGGUCCUGUCCAGGGGCAGUUACAUUCUGGAAGUUAGUGACUAUGUGGUGGGAAAGGUGGGGGGGACCGAAAAUCACAAGGAAUCUAGUCCUCUAUGGGGAAGGGAUGGAGGGCUUUGUAAAGGAAAGAAGAAGAGUAAUUUGGGUGGUGGUUUCAGAAGGGAAACAUGUACUGUGGGAAUGGAGAACUGAUUGUUUAAGAAAGCAAAUACCUCGUUUGGCGUCAGAGACUGUGUUUUUGCGACUGUUGUGUAAAAUAGUAACUGAGGUGAAAGCAUUUAAAUGCUGUUUUGGGGAGGAAAAAACAAAGAGAGUGUGGGGAGGGUUGCCAAAAGUCGGAGUGGGGUAAGCAAAAGAGCCAAUUUUCUAGCUUGGGUUUGUCUUUCUGUUUUUUUCUUUUCAUGGAAUAUCUAUUUUGUGGGUAAUGGAAUUUUCACCUUUGAAGAACAUAUAGAAUGCUUUGAUAAAUAAAUGUUUAUUCUGUCUGUAGCUUAAAAUGCCACGGUUAUGCAAAGUAAUACAAAGGUCUAUUUAGCCUGUUUCUAAGAAGGUA